Molecule: long non-coding RNA, 852 nt
Organism: Lactuca sativa (garden lettuce)
Lineage: Eukaryota; Viridiplantae; Streptophyta; Magnoliopsida; Asterales; Asteraceae
Source: RefSeq, a predicted model, not a curated record
GCUACAAUUGAAGCAGUCGACACGAAGAACACAGAUGAAUGGAAAACGUGAACGAACAAUUGAUGGGUCGAAAGGGAGCACGAAGGUUCGUCGCUCGACUCGUAAUCGGUGAUGGCCUCCGGGGUUCAACUAUACUGAAGAAGGAGAAGGAUCGAAGCAGCGAGGCGGCUGUGACCUCGGACGAGAAGGAAGUGAGGAAUCAGCGGGGCUGCUCGUCUUCUGUCUUGGAAGUAGUUGCGGAGGGGAAAGAGAUCCGAAGGGGGUCUGGGAGGCGUCGCGAGCAACAGCAGCGACGAUGACGGGGUGUUCGGUGGGUUUGCUUGACAGGAGGGGAAGAGGAGGGUGCGAGGGUUCGGUCGUCGGUCUCGGUGGUGCUGCGAUGAGGCUAGUUGAGACUGGUGGUUUCGAGUUUUCAGUCGUAUGGGUGGUGGAGGGGAGUUCGAUCAUGGCUGUUUGUUGAUUCGGGAAAGGUAGCAACUAUCAACACAGGGGAAGAGAGGAUGGAUUCAAUGGUUUUUCUGCUGUGAAUUUGAUGGGAAGGAAGAAUACAUUUGUUCUUGGCUUGGAAUGAAGAUGCAUGUAAGAGUUUAAGUGUUGUUUGAUUGUUUGUGAAUCAGUAGUUGAUAAGUAGAAGCAAUACCACACGGUGUAUGAGCUGCAGUACAGGUGAAAGAAAAACGUGGGAAGGAAAGAAAAUAGUGGAGUGCAAGAAUUCAUUUCCCUUUUGAGUGUUUCUUUGUAUAAAAUGAAACUUGGAAGAAAUUAUUACCUUGGAUGUCAAUGUCAAAUUUGGUGUAUUUUUGGUUAAUCUUGUAAAGAUUCUAUUAGCUCAUUAAGUAUGUAUUUUAUGUG